RNAcentral lists this ribosomal RNA (159 nucleotides) under uncultured bacterium. RNAcentral's name for it is "partial 16S ribosomal RNA". It matches the Rfam family "Bacterial small subunit ribosomal RNA", at positions 335 to 487 of the family's 1533-position model. The record is from RNAcentral.
UAUCGUACGCGAGGCAGCAGUAAGGAAUAUUGGACAAUGGACGGAAGUCUGAUCCAGCCAUGCCGCGUGACAGGAUGAAGGCGCCUCAUGGGUUGUAAACUGCUGUUGGAGUGGGAACAAUAGUCUUGAUGUAUACGUGUCGUGACGUACCAUCAGAUA